Molecule: long non-coding RNA, 843 nt
Organism: Athalia rosae (coleseed sawfly)
Lineage: Eukaryota; Metazoa; Arthropoda; Insecta; Hymenoptera; Athaliidae
Exons: 3
Source: RefSeq, a predicted model, not a curated record
GUAUACGCGAGCAGCAGACCCGAUAAAUAAAAGAUUGUUCGGCAAACGAAGAAGGAACUGCAGCAUUUCGUCCGUUUCGUUACUAUACCUGCUGCAACCCACCAAGUGAUGUACACACACGCGGAGGCUCUCACAUUUUUCGAAGACGAGAUUGGCCCGUAGCUCCCGUUUGCGGUUUCUAAAAGAAUUAUGCAUCAAGUACGUAUACGUGUUCAACGAUCUGCGGGGCUUAAUACAUGUAUAUGCAGAGGUGUUGAGAAAUUUUAGACACCCUGCAUAAAUACACCGCGACUACGUGAAAUCGGGACAUCGAUCAAUCGGGAGAGUGCUCGAAGGUCACCGUUACAGAAGAGUUAUCUGCACAGAUACAGGUAUACGUGCAGUUUUCGUUGCACGUUGGUUUCAUUGUAUUAAUAAAUCAGUGGACGAUUUAGCUAAUAGGCCAUCUGGCUGUGCCUGAAAUAUAUGUAUCAAUUUGUCAGACCAGCCCGACGUAUAUUACCUGCGCUGGGAAGACGAAUCUCCAUAUAUAGAUGUAUAAGUAUACGCUUCGAAACAUGAUCGCGGUUACGCGUCUGAUGGCCGAAUAUCAAUUGUCUUUAAUUCGUACUAGUCUCGCCUAUUCUCAAAACAAUUCCAAGGCAACAUCGGCGAUCAACGGACGUAUAGAUCUCCGGAUGAGUCGAUCUCGCGUUUGACUGCUGCAGCUAUAACCUUGAAGCUCUUAAUUUUUCAUCGAUUCUCGGUCCUAUGCUUACGCGACGUCGAACGAAUCAAUGCAAAUCAUUUGUACUAUUCGCACUCACUCUUCUAAACACCCCUUUCAUUUUCUAAAAUAUAACA